Molecule: transfer RNA, 74 nt
Filed under: Caldifarciminota bacterium
Lineage: Bacteria; Pseudomonadati; Caldifarciminota
Description: candidate division WOR-3 bacterium (sediment metagenome) tRNA-Arg
Rfam family: tRNA
About the family: Transfer RNA (tRNA) molecules are approximately 80 nucleotides in length. Their secondary structure includes four short double-helical elements and three loops (D, anti-codon, and T loops).
Source: RNAcentral
GCGCCCGUAGCUCAAUUGGAUAGAGCACUUGACUACGGAUCAAGAGGUUGGGGGUUCGAUUCCCUUCGGGCGCC